GGGAUAACAGCUGGAAACGGCUGCUAAUACCGCAUAAGCGCACAGAGCUGCAUGGCUCGGUGUGAAAAACUCCGGUGGUAUGGGAUGGGCCCGCGUCUGAUUAGGCAGUUGGCGGGGUAACGGCCCACCAAACCGACGAUCAGUAGCCGGCCUGAGAGGGCGACCGGCCACAUUGGGACUGAGACACGGCCCAAACUCCUACGGGAGGCAGCAGUGGGGAAUAUUGCACAAUGGGGGAAACCCUGAUGCAGCGACGCCGCGUGAGCGAAGAAGUAUUUCGGUAUGUAAAGCUCUAUCAGCAGGGAAGAUAAUGACGGUACCUGACUAAGAAGCCCCGGCUAACUACGUGCCAGCAGCCGCGGUAAUACGUAGGGGGCAAGCGUUAUCCGGAUUUACUGGGUGUAAAGGGAGCGUAGACGGCAAGGCAAGUCUGAUGUGAAGACCCAGGGCUUAACCCUAGGACUGCAUUGGAAACUGUCUGGCUCGAGUGCCGGAGAGGUAAGCGGAAUUCCUGGUGUAGCGGUGAAAUGCGUAGAUAUUAGGAAGAACACCAGUGGCGAAGGCGGCUUACUGGACGGUAACUGACGUUGAGGCUCGAAAGCGUGGGGAGCAAACAGGAUUAGAUACCCUGGUAGUCCACGCUGUAAACGAUGAAUGCUAGGUGUUGGGGAGCAAAGCUCUUCGGUGCCGCCG
RNAcentral lists this ribosomal RNA (693 nucleotides) under uncultured bacterium. RNAcentral describes it as "bacterial SSU rRNA". It matches the Rfam family "Bacterial small subunit ribosomal RNA", at positions 140 to 851 of the family's 1533-position model. The record is from RNAcentral.